RNAcentral lists this ribosomal RNA (492 nucleotides) under uncultured bacterium. RNAcentral's name for it is "partial 16S ribosomal RNA". It matches the Rfam family "Bacterial small subunit ribosomal RNA", at positions 29 to 507 of the family's 1533-position model. The record is from RNAcentral.
AGUGAACGCUGGCGGUAGGCCUAACACAUGCAAGUCGAACGGCAGCACAGUAAGAGCUUGCUCUUACGGGUGGCGAGUGGCGGACGGGUGAGGAGUACAUCGGAAUCUACUUUUUCGUGGGGGAUAACGUAGGGAAACUUACGCUAAUACCGCAUACGACCUACGGGUGAAAGCAGGGGAUCUUCGGACCUUGCGCGAUUGAAUGAGCCGAUGUCGGAUUAGCUAGUUGGCGGGGUAAAGGCCCACCAAGGCGACGAUCCGUAGCUGGUCUGAGAGGAUGAUCAGCCACACUGGAACUGAGACAUGGUCCAGACUCCUACGGGAGGCAGCAGUGGGGAAUAUUGGACAAUGGGCGCAAGCCUGAUCCAGCCAUACCGCGUGGGUGAAGAAGGCCUUCGGGUUGUAAAGCCCUUUUGUUGGGAAAGAAAAGCAGCAGGUUAAUACCCCGCUGUUCUGACGGUACCCAAAGAAUAAGCACCGGCUAACUUCGUG